Molecule: ribosomal RNA, 340 nt
Filed under: Pomacanthus navarchus (bluegirdled angelfish)
Lineage: Eukaryota; Metazoa; Chordata; Actinopteri; Pomacanthidae
Description: partial 12S ribosomal RNA
Rfam family: Bacterial small subunit ribosomal RNA
Source: RNAcentral
CAUAGACAGUUCACAUACCUUACUGUCCGCCCGGGAACUACGAGCAUUAGCUUAAAACCCAAAGGACUUGGCGGUGCUUCAUACCCACCUAGAGGAGCCUGUUCUAGAACCGAUAAUCCCCGUUCAACCUCACCCUUCCUUGUUCUUCCCGCCUAUAUACCGCCGUCGUCAGUUUACCCUGUGAAGGCCUAAUAGUAAGCAAAAUCGGCACAGCCUAAAACGUCAGGUCGAGGUGUAGCGUAUGGAAGGGGAAGAAAUGGGCUACAUUCCCUAAUUAUAGGGUAUACGGAUGAUUGUGCUGAAACGCAUGUCUGAAGGAGGAUUUAGCAGUAAGCAGGAA